CGAACGAACUCUUCGGAGUUAGUGGCGGACGGGUGAGUAACACGUGGGAACGUGCCUUUAGGUUCGGAAUAACUCAGGGAAACUUGUGCUAAUACCGAAUGUGCCCUUCGGGGGAAAGAUUUAUCGCCUUUAGAGCGGCCCGCGUCUGAUUAGCUUGUUGGUGGGGUAAUGGCCCACCAAGGCGACGAUCAGUAGCUGGUCUGAGAGGAUGACCAGCCACAUUGGGACUGAGACACGGCCCAAACUCCUACGGGAGGCAGCAGUGGGGAAUCUUGCGCAAUGGGCGAAAGCCUGACGCAGCCAUGCCGCGUGGAUGAUGAAGGUCUUAGGAUUGUAAAAUCCUUUCACCGGUGAAGAUAAUGACUGUAGCCGGAGAAGAAGCCCCGGCUAACUUCGUGCCAGCAGCCGCGGUAAUACGAAGGGGGCUAGCGUUGCUCGGAAUUACUGGGCGUAAAGGGAGCGUAGGCGGACAUUUAAGUCAGGGGUGAAAUCCCGAGGCUCAACCUCGGAACUGCCUUUGAUACUGGGUGUCUUGAGUGUGAGAGAGGUGAGUGGAACUCCGAGUGUAGAGGUGAAAUUCGUAGAUAUUCGGAAGAACACCAGUGGCGAAGGCGACUCACUGGCUCAUUACUGACGCUGAGGCUCGAAAGCGUGGGGAGCAAACAGGAUUAGAUACCCUGGUAGUCCACGCCGUAAACGAUGAUUGCUAGUUGUCGGGGAGCUUGCUCUUCGGUGACGCAGCUAACGCAUUAAGCAAUCCGCCUGGGGAGUACGGUCGCAAGAUUAAAACUCAAAGGAAUUGACGGGGGCCCGC
RNAcentral lists this ribosomal RNA (814 nucleotides) under Brevundimonas sp. Its description in RNAcentral is "bacterial SSU rRNA". It matches the Rfam family "Bacterial small subunit ribosomal RNA", at positions 63 to 924 of the family's 1533-position model. The record is from RNAcentral. Lineage: Bacteria; Pseudomonadati; Pseudomonadota; Alphaproteobacteria; Caulobacterales; Caulobacteraceae.